CACGUAGGCGGACUUUUAAGUCAGGGGUGAAAUCCCGGGGCUCAACCCCGGAACUGCCCUUGAUACUGGAAGUCUUGAGUUCGAGAGAGGUGAGUGGAAUUCCGAGUGUAGAGGUGAAAUUCGUAGAUAUUCGGAGGAACACCAGUGGCGAAGGCGGCUCACUGGCUCGAUACUGACGCUGAGGUGCGAAAGCGUGGGGAGCAAACA
Molecule: ribosomal RNA, 207 nt
Filed under: uncultured bacterium
Lineage: Bacteria
Description: partial 16S ribosomal RNA
Rfam family: Bacterial small subunit ribosomal RNA
Source: RNAcentral